Molecule: ribosomal RNA, 498 nt
Filed under: uncultured bacterium
Lineage: Bacteria
Description: partial 16S ribosomal RNA
Rfam family: Bacterial small subunit ribosomal RNA
Source: RNAcentral
AUUGAACGCUGGCGGCAUGCCUUACACAUGCAAGUCGAACGGUAACAGGUCUUCGGAUGCUGACGAGUGGCGAACGGGUGAGUAAUGCAUCGGAACGUGCCUAGUAGUGGGGGAUAACUACUCGAAAGAGUGGCUAAUACCGCAUGAGAUCUACGGAUGAAAGCAGGGGAUCGCAAGACCUUGUGCUACUAGAGCGGCCGAUGGCAGAUUAGGUAGUUGGUGGGAUAAAAGCUUACCAAGCCGACGAUCUGUAGCUGGUCUGAGAGGACGAUCAGCCACACUGGGACUGAGACACGGCCCAGACUCCUACGGGAGGCAGCAGUGGGGAAGUUUGGACAAUGGGCGCAAGCCUGAUCCAGCAAUGCCGCGUGCAGGAUGAAGGCCUUCGGGUUGUAAACUGCUUUUGUACGGAACGAAAAGCCCCGGGUUAAUACCCUGGGGUCAUGACGGUGCCGUAGGAAUAAGCACCGGCUAACUACGUGCCAGCCGCCGCCGUAA